AUUGAACGCUGGCGGCAUGCCUUACACAUGCAAGUCGAACGGCAGCACGGGAGCAAUCCUGGUGGCGAGUGGCGAACGGGUGAGUAAUAUAUCGGAACGUGCCCGGUCGUGGGGAUAACGUAGCGAAAGCUACGCUAAUACCGCAUACGAUCUACGGAUGAAAGCGGGGGAUCGCAAGACCUCGCGCGAUUGGAGCGGCCGAUAUCAGAUUAGGUAGUUGGUGAGGUAAAGGGCUCACCAAGCCGGCGAUCUGUAGCUGGUCUGAGAGGACGACCAGCCACACUGGGACUGAGACACGGCCCAGACUCCUACGGGAGGCAGCAGUGGGGAAUUUUGGACAAUGGGCGCAAGCCUGAUCCAGCAAUGCCGCGUGCAGGAUGAAGGCCUCGGUUGGUAACGUAGCUUUUGUUACGGUAACGAAA
Molecule: ribosomal RNA, 422 nt
Filed under: uncultured bacterium
Lineage: Bacteria
Description: bacterial SSU rRNA
Rfam family: Bacterial small subunit ribosomal RNA
Source: RNAcentral